UACGAAGGUCCCAAGCGUUGUUCGGAAUUACUGGGCGUAAAGCGUGUGUAGGCGGUUAGGUAAGUCAGAUGUGAAAUCCCGGGGCUCAACCUCGGAACUGCAUCCGAUACUGCCUGACUAGAGGACUGGAGGGGAGUCUGGAAUUCUCGGUGUAGCAGUGAAAUGCGUAGAUAUCGAGAGGAACACUAGUGGCGAAGGCGAGACUCUGGACAGAUCCUGACGCUGAGACACGAAGGCUAGGGUAGCGAACGGG
This 253-nucleotide ribosomal RNA is filed under the name uncultured bacterium. RNAcentral's name for it is "partial 16S ribosomal RNA". It matches the Rfam family "Bacterial small subunit ribosomal RNA", at positions 524 to 776 of the family's 1533-position model. The record is from RNAcentral.